GAGAUUACAAGCGUGAAGACGUUUUGCUUAGUGAAUUUUGUAAAAUGUUUCGGAAGAGUUGCUCAAAAGCUUAUUUAAGUUGACGAAUCCUAAAGCUUCCGAAGGCCUAUUUGAUAAUAAAUACCAGAGGUUUCUGUGUGACAGCCUUAUGGAGACGGUUGAGCCAGUUUAAUCAGUGGACUUACUUUCCCAAAACAUAAAGUCAAGCACCACCUUAAACUAAGUCGAAUAGCUUUAGAUUUCAUCAGAAUAUCAAACAAAUAUUUUUGU
Molecule: long non-coding RNA, 270 nt
Organism: Bactrocera tryoni
Lineage: Eukaryota; Metazoa; Arthropoda; Insecta; Diptera; Tephritidae
Exons: 3
Source: RefSeq, a predicted model, not a curated record